GCAAACUUGGUCAUUUAGAGGAAGUAAAAGUCGUAACAAGGUCUCCGUUGGUGAACCAGCGGAGGGAUCAUUACAGAGUCUCCAGACUCCCAAACCACUGUGAACCUUACCUUAAACCGCGCUCCGGCGGGUCGCCCCCGGGGGGGUCGCCGGCCGAAAGGCACCCGCCGGAGCCAACCUCAAAGUCUCUGUACGAAAACAGUCUUCUGAGUGUCAAAAAAAUUAAAAUUCACAACUUCCAACAAUGGAUCUCUUGGUUCCGGCAUCGAUGAAGAACGCAGC
Molecule: unclassified non-coding RNA, 282 nt
Filed under: uncultured fungus
Lineage: Eukaryota; Fungi
Description: partial contains small subunit ribosomal RNA, internal transcribed spacer 1, and 5.8S ribosomal RNA
Rfam family: Eukaryotic small subunit ribosomal RNA (bases 1-73)
Source: RNAcentral